RNAcentral lists this ribosomal RNA (1482 nucleotides) under uncultured bacterium. RNAcentral describes it as "bacterial SSU rRNA". It matches the Rfam family "Bacterial small subunit ribosomal RNA". The record is from RNAcentral.
ACAGAGUUUGAUCCUAUCUCAGAAUGAACGUUGGCGGCGUGGAUUAGGCAUGCAAGUCGCGCGGGAUCUUGUUGGAGCUGAAGCUUCGGCUGAUUGAUUCGAGUGAGAGCGGCGAAAGGGAGAGUAACGCGUGGCAGAUCUGCCCUCGGCUCCAGGAUAGCGUUGGGAAACUGGCGGUAAUACUGGAUAAUAUCUCCGGAUAUCACAGGGUGUGAUUCCGGCCGAGGAUGAGUCCGCGUCCUAUUAGAUUGUUGGUGGGGUAAUGGCCUACCUACGUCGAAGAUGGGUACCGGGUGUGAGAGCAUGGCCCGGCUCACUGGGACUGAGACACUGCCCAGACGUCUACGGACGGCUGCAGUCGAGAAUCUUCCGCAAUGGACGAAAGUCUGACGGGACCGACGCCGCGUGCGGGAUGAAGGCCCUCGGGUUGUAAACCGCAGAUUCAGUUGGGAGGAUAUCGCUAUGGGGUUCUCCCUGUAGUUUGACCGAUCUUCAGAGGAAGUACGGUAUUAAGUACUAUUGCAGUAGCAGCCGCGGUAACACGUACCGUACGAACGUUAUUCGGAAUUCACUGGGCAGAAUGAGUCCGUAGGCGGCUUUAAAGGUCAGGUGUGAAAUGGCCACGGCCUCGAACUGCGCUUGAAACCAUGAAGCUAGAGGGAGAUAGAGGUGAGCGGAACUGAUGGUGGAGCGGUGAAAUGCGUUGAUAUCAUCAGGAACACCCGUGGCGAAAGCGGCUCACUGGGUCUCUUCUGACGCUGAGCAGGACGAAAGCUAGGGGAGCCAGAACGGGAUUAGAUACCCCGGUAGUCCUAGCUGUAAACGAUGAGCACUAGUUCGAGUUGACUAUUCACAUCCUCUUGGACGUAGCGAAGAGCAGGUUAAGUGCUCCGCCUGGGGAGUAUGGUCGCAAGGCUGAAACUCAAAGGAAUUGACGGGGGCUCACACAAGCGGUGGAGGAUGUGGCUUAAUUCGAGGCUACGCGAAGAACCUUAUCCUAGUCUUGACAUGCUUGGGAAUUCUUGUGAAAGCAAGAAGUGCCUUUCGGGGAGCCCAGGCACAGGUGCUGCAUGGCUGUCGAGCUCGUGUCGUGAGAUGACUUAAGUUAUCUUAACGAGCGAAACCCUUAUCUCUAGUUGCCAGCGAGUAAUGUCGGGGACUCUAGAGAGACUGCCGGUGUUAAACCGGAGGAAGGUGGGGAUGACGUCAAGUCCUCAUGGCCUUUAUGACUAGGGCUGCACACGUCCUACAAUGCAACAUACAAAGCGAACAAGACCGCAAGGUGGAGCAAAUCGCAGAAAGUGUUGCUCAGUAUCGGAUUGUAGCGGCUGCAACUCGCCUGCAUGAAGCUGGAAUCGCUAGUAAUCGCGGGUCAAGAGCAUACCGCGGUGGGAUGUGUUACUGAGCCUUGUACACACCGCCCGUCAAGCCACGGAGGGCCCGAAGUCGCCGAGCUAACUCGCAUACAGAGGCAAGCGCCGA